GGUAAACCAGGCGCGACGUCUGUUUUGCAGAGCUGCCGCGACUCGGCCUCUUCCUCCCAUCGCAAGGAGGCAAGGCAGCGCCCACCACCGGCUCUAGCUCCUUCCACCUCGCCACCUCCAGACAAGACAAGCAGACCAGGAAGUUGAGCAUCUCUCUCUCUCUCUCUUUUGGUCCCAACUAACCUUUAUUGCUCAAACAGGGAAAUGCAGGCAGAGGAGGAGCCACUCUGGCAGCAGGGUUCCAUAUCUAUGAAGAAAGACCCUGGUGAGACCCCCAUGCACCAGUCUCAGAGGGGCUGCCUGCUGCAUCUUUGCAAGAUUCUCUGCUCUUCUGCCU
Molecule: non-coding RNA, 337 nt
Organism: Podarcis muralis (Common wall lizard)
Lineage: Eukaryota; Metazoa; Chordata; Lepidosauria; Squamata; Lacertidae
Source: RefSeq, a predicted model, not a curated record